RNAcentral lists this ribosomal RNA (844 nucleotides) under Flavobacteriaceae bacterium 94-5PB. Its description in RNAcentral is "bacterial SSU rRNA". It matches the Rfam family "Bacterial small subunit ribosomal RNA", at positions 60 to 907 of the family's 1533-position model. The record is from RNAcentral. Lineage: Bacteria; Pseudomonadati; Bacteroidota; Flavobacteriia; Flavobacteriales; Flavobacteriaceae.
AGCCGAGCGGUAUAGUUUCUUCGGAAACUAGAGAGCGGCGUACGGGUGCGUAACACGUGUGCAACCUACCUUUAUCAGGGGAAUAGCCUUUCGAAAGGAAGAUUAAUACUCCAUAAUAUAUUGAAUGGCAUCAUUUAAUAUUGAAAACUCCGGUGGAUAGAGAUGGGCACGCGCAAGAUUAGAUAGUUGGUGAGGUAACGGCUCACCAAGUCAAUGAUCUUUAGGGGUCCUGAGAGGGAGAUCCCCCACACUGGUACUGAGACACGGACCAGACUCCUACGGGAGGCAGCAGUGAGGAAUAUUGGACAAUGGGUGAGAGCCUGAUCCAGCCAUCCCGCGUGAAGGAUUAAGGUCCUAUGGAUUGUAAACUUCUUUUGUACAGGGAUAAACCUAGAUACGUGUAUCUAGCUGAAGGUACUGUACGAAUAAGCACCGGCUAACUCCGUGCCAGCAGCCGCGGUAAUACGGAGGGUGCAAGCGUUAUCCGGAUUUAUUGGGUUUAAAGGGUCCGCAGGCGGACCGAUAAGUCAGUGGUGAAAUCUCAUAGCUUAACUAUGAAACUGCCAUUGAUACUGUCGGUCUUGAGUAAAUUAGAGGUAGCUGGAAUAAGUAGUGUAGCGGUGAAAUGCAUAGAUAUUACUUAGAACACCAAUUGCGAAGGCAGGUUACCAUGAUUUAACUGACGCUGAGGGACGAAAGCGUGGGUAGCGAACAGGAUUAGAUACCCUGGUAGUCCACGCCGUAAACGAUGCUAACUCGUUUUUGGGGCGCAAGCCUCAGAGACCAAGCGAAAGUGAUAAGUUAGCCACCUGGGGAGUACGUUCGCAAGAAUGAAACUCAAAGG